Molecule: ribosomal RNA, 460 nt
Filed under: uncultured bacterium
Lineage: Bacteria
Description: partial 16S ribosomal RNA
Rfam family: Bacterial small subunit ribosomal RNA
Source: RNAcentral
CCUACGGGGGGCUGCAGUGAGGAAUAUUGGUCAAUGGGCGGAAGCCUGAACCAGCCAAGUAGCGUGCAGGAUGACGGCCCUACGGGUUGUAAACUGCUUUUAUACGGGAAUAACGCGCCUUACGUGUAGGGCUUUGCAUGUACCGUAUGAAUAAGGACCGGCUAAUUCCGUGCCAGCAGCCGCGGUAAUACGGAAGGUCCGGGCGUUAUCCGGAUUUAUUGGGUUUAAAGGGAGCGUAGGCCGCAUGUCAAGCGUGCUGUGAAAUGUCCGGGCUCAACCCGGGCCUUGCAGCGCGAACUGGAGUGCUUGAGUCGGCGGAAACCAGGCGGAAUGCGUGGUGUAGCGGUGAAAUGCUUAGAUAUGACGAAGAACCCCGAUUGCGAAGGCAGCUUGCUGCAGCGGAACUGACGCUGAUGCGCGAAAGCGCGGGGAUCGAACAGGAUUAGAUACCCCAGUAGUC